UUAAAAAGAGCGGGUGCUAAUAUAUUUUGAGUUAUGAGACUAUACGGGCUUCAAAAAGGUCAAUGUAGUGUUUUUUCUUUAAAAAUAUAACCAUAGUCGUGUAUCAAUCAUUUGAUUAGUUAAAAAUUAAAUGAGUUUUAAUUUUAAAACGAUUAUGAUGAACAUUUAAUCUGCAUUAAAGAAUCCCCAAAAAGUAUAACAGUUAAGUGAUAGUUUUGAAGUAACUUCCAUUCAUUAUGAAGUUGAGUGUAAAUUUAUAAAAUUAAAGAUAUUUAUGUCAAUGAAGAUAAAAAAACGAAAGAAAAAAAAACUAAAAAACGUUUUGGUUUAUCCAAAAUAAGUUCUCAUAUGAUUAUAACGAAUUUUUGAUAAGCUUCCUGGUAGCAAGAUAUUCGAAGGUCAUAUAAAAAAACCGGUUGAUUCAAGGCAGACUAUAAAACAAGCAGGAAAGGUGAUGCCUACUUACCUAUUCAGCGAGUCCUCAAUCUAUUAUGAUAUAUUCUAAUGGGUAUGACAAAAAAUUAUAUGAAUAGUUCAUUGUUUAACUUAAAAAAAUUUUUAAAUAAUAUUUUAUGUCGCGAUUUAUACAAUUUCUAUCAAUUAUAAAUAAAUUGUUAUA
Microplitis mediator is the source of this 619-nucleotide long non-coding RNA. RefSeq lists it as uncharacterized. The transcript is spliced from 3 exons. Lineage: Eukaryota; Metazoa; Arthropoda; Insecta; Hymenoptera; Braconidae. The record is from RefSeq and is a predicted model, not a curated record.